RNAcentral lists this long non-coding RNA (207 nucleotides) under Elaeis guineensis (African oil palm). RNAcentral's name for it is "long non-coding RNA (EGUI_LNC039465)". Lineage: Eukaryota; Viridiplantae; Streptophyta; Magnoliopsida; Arecales; Arecaceae. The record is from RNAcentral.
GCCUUCGACUUUGCCCAUGUUAGGACGAGGUUCUCCUCCUGUUCCUAACAUGGCUGUGGGGGCACAUAUGGGCGUUGCAGGGCCUCUCCCCCCAUCCAGUCUGAAUGUAACCGGGCCUUCGACUUUGCUCAUAUUAGGACGAAGUUCUCCUCCUAUUCCUAACAUGGCUGUGGGGGCACAUAUGGGUGUUGCAGGGCCUCUCCCCCC